Molecule: non-coding RNA, 121 nt
Organism: Picea glauca (white spruce)
Lineage: Eukaryota; Viridiplantae; Streptophyta; Pinopsida; Pinales; Pinaceae
Source: Rfam
ACAUGCCUACAACAUAUUAUUAAUGCAUCAUAUCCCAUUAGAACUCUGAAGUUAAGCAUGCUCAGGCUACAGUAGUACUAGGAUGGGUGACCUCCUGAGAAGUCUUAGUAUUUUACAUGCC